RNAcentral lists this ribosomal RNA (671 nucleotides) under [Candida] sp. VVT-2012. RNAcentral describes it as "eukaryotic LSU rRNA". The stretch from base 147 to 300 matches the Rfam family "5.8S ribosomal RNA". The record is from RNAcentral. Lineage: Eukaryota; Fungi; Ascomycota; Saccharomycetes; Saccharomycetales.
CGGCGGGCUUAUUUGCUUAUUGCACCACAUGUGUUGUUCUUUGAAACAGACUUGCUUUGGCGGUGGGCCCAGGCCUGCCGCCAGAGGUCUAAACUUACAACCAAUUUUUUAUCAGCUUGUCACACCAGAUUAUUACUAAUAGUCCAAACUUUCAACAACGGAUCUCUUGGUUCUCGCAUCGAUGAAGAACGCAACGAAAUGCGAUACGUAAUAUGAAUUGCAGAUAUUCGUGAAUCAUCAAAUCUUUGAACGCACAUUGCGCCCUCUGGUAUUCCGGAGGGCAUGCCUGUUUGAGCGUCGUUUCUCCCUCAAACCGCUGGGUUUGGUGUUGAGCAAUACGACUUGGGUUUGCUUGAAAGACGGUAGUGGUAAGGCGGGAUCGCUUUGACAAUGGCUUAGGUCUAACCAAAAACAUUGUUUGCGGCGGUAACGUCCACCACGUAUAUCUUCAAACUUUGACCUCAAAUCAGGUAGGACUACCCGCUGAACUUAAGCAUAUCAAUAAGCGGAGGAAAAGAAACCAACCAUAGGUUAAUGAGGCGAACCGGGGGAACUGAAACAUCUAAGUACCCCGAGGAAAAGAAACCAACCUUAUCAUUAACUGAAUCCAUAGGUUAAUGAGGCGAAACCGGGGGAAACUGAAACAGUCUAAUAACCCCAAGAAAACCAAA